GCGACUUCUAGCGACUUUUAGGACAACCAAUAGCGAUUUUCCUUACUGAGGAGUUGGCAACACUGUCCAAGAGUAAUUUCUUUCGGGUACAUAAACUACGAAGUAGUCAACAAAAACCGAAAUGCAAUAUGCAAAACAUGCAAGAAGAGAAUCACAGACGGAGAUGGAACAACUUCCAACUUUGUCCGACAUUUGAAGUUGCAUAAAGAACGUUGUGAACUCAAGGAAAACAGUCUGUUCCAGUCCAGCUCUCUCUCUCCCCGCUCGACUCUGGCUUCACUAUAUAGAGAAAUAGAAAGAGACUCCAUCAUCAGUCAAUCACCACCACCUGUGCUCACCUGCUUCCCGUGGAACCAUGCUGAAGGUAUUUCUGCUUGGAUGCUUCCUAUGCCUCACUCCAGUUCAACCAGUAAGUAUUAUUAUAUAAGUGAUUAUAUAUGCUACUACUUGAAAAUGCAAAUACAAGUAAUACAAUACUUGGGAAUUUUCUACAGAUUGUCAAUGUGUAUGAAAAGUAUGGUGGCUCUCACCACGGCUGAUAUGAGAUCACCAACAACAACAAUAUUUCCCUGCAGCAACUUCUCUCUGUCCUCC
This is a long non-coding RNA of Oreochromis aureus, 594 nucleotides long. The record is from Ensembl. Lineage: Eukaryota; Metazoa; Chordata; Actinopteri; Cichliformes; Cichlidae.